This 728-nucleotide ribosomal RNA is filed under the name uncultured Staphylococcus sp. Its description in RNAcentral is "bacterial SSU rRNA". It matches the Rfam family "Bacterial small subunit ribosomal RNA", at positions 63 to 773 of the family's 1533-position model. The record is from RNAcentral. Lineage: Bacteria; Bacillati; Bacillota; Bacilli; Caryophanales; Staphylococcaceae.
CGAGCGAACGGACGAGAAGCUUGCUUCUCUGAUGUUAGCGGCGGACGGGUGAGUAACACGUGGAUAACCUACCUAUAAGACUGGGAUAACUUCGGGAAACCGGAGCUAAUACCGGAUAAUAUUUUGAACCGCAUGGUUCAAAAGUGAAAGACGGUCUUGCUGUCACUUAUAGAUGGAUCCGCGCUGCAUUAGCUAGUUGGUAAGGUAACGGCUUACCAAGGCAACGAUGCAUAGCCGACCUGAGAGGGUGAUCGGCCACACUGGAACUGAGACACGGUCCAGACUCCUACGGGAGGCAGCAGUAGGGAAUCUUCCGCAAUGGGCGAAAGCCUGACGGAGCAACGCCGCGUGAGUGAUGAAGGUCUUCGGAUCGUAAAACUCUGUUAUUAGGGAAGAACAUAUGUGUAAGUAACUGUGCACAUCUUGACGGUACCUAAUCAGAAAGCCACGGCUAACUACGUGCCAGCAGCCGCGGUAAUACGUAGGUGGCAAGCGUUAUCCGGAAUUAUUGGGCGUAAAGCGCGCGUAGGCGGUUUUUUAAGUCUGAUGUGAAAGCCCACGGCUCAACCGUGGAGGGUCAUUGGAAACUGGAAAACUUGAGUGCAGAAGAGGAAAGUGGAAUUCCAUGUGUAGCGGUGAAAUGCGCAGAGAUAUGGAGGAACACCAGUGGCGAAGGCGACUUUCUGGUCUGUAACUGACGCUGAUGUGCGGAAGCGUGGGGAUCAAAC